GCUACCCAGCAAUGGGAUGCGAAUCUCGAAAGCCUGUCUCAGUUCGGAUUGGAGGCUGAAACCCGCCUCCAUGAAGUUGGAUUCGCUAGUAAUCGUGCAUCAGCCAUGGCGCGGUGAAUACGUUCCCGGGCCUUGUACACACCGCCCGUCAAGCCAUGGGAGCCGGGGGUGCCUGAAGUUCGUGACCGCAAGGAGCGACCUAGGGCAAAACUGGUGACUGGGGCUAAGUCGUAACAAGGUACC
Molecule: ribosomal RNA, 243 nt
Filed under: uncultured bacterium
Lineage: Bacteria
Description: partial 16S ribosomal RNA
Rfam family: Bacterial small subunit ribosomal RNA
Source: RNAcentral